CCUACGGGAGGCAGCAGUGGGGAAUUUUCCGCAAUGGGCGAAAGCCUGACGGAGUGACGCCGCGUGGGGGACGAAGGCCUUCGGGUCGUAAACCCCUGUCAGAGGGAAAGAAGGGUGUCGGCGUGAAUAGCGCCGGCAUCUGACGGUACCUUCAGAGGAAGCCCCGGCCAACUCUGUGCAGCAGCCGCGGUAAGACAGAGGGGGCAAGCGUUGCUCGGAAUCACUGGGCGUAAAGGGCGCGUAGGCGGGAUGGCAAGUCGGUCGUGAAAUCCUUCGGCUCAACCGAAGAACGUCGGCCGAUACUGCCGUUCUUGAGGGAUGCAGAGGAGAUUGGAAUUCCCGGUGUAGCGGUGAAAUGUGUAGAGAUCGGGAGGAACACCGGUGGCGAAGGCGGGUCUCUGGGCAUCUCCUGACGCUGAGGCGCGAAAGCGUGGGGAGCAAACGGGAUUAGAUACCCCGGUAGUCCACGCUGUAAACGAUGACGACUAGGUGUGGGGGGGGUUAGUCCUUUCCGUGCCGCAGCUAACGCAUUAAGUCGUCCGCCUGGGGAGUACGGCCGCAAGGUUGAAACUCAAAGGAAUUGACGG
This 587-nucleotide ribosomal RNA is filed under the name uncultured bacterium. Its description in RNAcentral is "bacterial SSU rRNA". It matches the Rfam family "Bacterial small subunit ribosomal RNA", at positions 338 to 916 of the family's 1533-position model. The record is from RNAcentral.